RNAcentral lists this long non-coding RNA (1323 nucleotides) under Sus scrofa (pig). Its description in RNAcentral is "lncRNA (ENSSSCG00070001255.1)". The record is from RNAcentral. Lineage: Eukaryota; Metazoa; Chordata; Mammalia; Artiodactyla; Suidae.
GAGGAGAGGCCCAAGUCCAACAGUGAGAGUCAGAAAGGCAGUUGGAGGCCCUCGUGGUCACUGACCUGCUCUGACGCCUGCUCAUCUGUCUGCCCAACAUUCUCUGGCCCACCUGAUCCCCCACCCGACUGGAUACCUUGUUACAAUUUUGAAAGGAGAGGCACACAUCCAACAGUGAGUGAGAAAGGCAGGUGGAGGCUCUUGUGGUCACUGACCUGCUCUGAAGCCUGCACAUCUUCUGGCCCUGAUCGAACCCACCUGAUCUCCACACCCACCUGCUUACCUUCUUACCAUCUUGAGAGGAGAGGCCCACAUCCAACAGGGAGUGUCAGAAAGGUGGGCUUGAGCUGCACCCUCACCCUCUACCAAUAUCUCAAGGGAAGAGGACUGUGGUGGGUGCCUGGAGCACAUGGGUCUGAGGUCAAGGUGACAAGGACCUCUAGCACCAAUCCCUGAGCAUGAAGCCCCUUCUGGGUUCCAUGAACUACGGGCUGCUGCCAGAGGUGCCCGACACCCUGCAAGGAGCCCAAGGUUAGAGAUCAGGCUUUUGUCCAGAAAAGGAAGAGAAGGAGAAGGAUGGACAGGUGAGGCUGAAGGAGGUGCAGGAGGAUGCAGGAGGAGGCGGAGGAUGGGAAGGUCUAGCAAGAGGAGAGAUGGAUUCAGGAGAAAAGGUGGAUGCAGCAGGAUGGAGGGAGAGGUGAAUGAGGGGGAGAAGUAGGCACAAGAGGGAGAGGAAGAGGAGAAAACAUGAGUGGAGGAGAGGUGGAGGAUGCAAGGAAGAUGGAUCAGGAAGAGCAUGAAGAGCAGGAGGAUGAAGAGGAAUAGAUAGAGGAGAGGGAGGAAAGGACAGAGGAGGAGGACAUGGAUGGAUGGAAGAGGUUGAAGGAAAGAUGGAGGAGGAGGGAGGGGAAGCAGGGGUCAAGGCCAUCCCAGAGCAGGUGGUAUGGCGAGCUGUGUGGGGUCUCUUAAAGGGUGUACCUGAGUGAGCUUCUGGUUUGAUGCUUGGACCUGGUGAAAUCCAGCAGCGUGGUGCGGCCUGGGUGGCAAAUUUCCAGCCUGAGUCAAGUCAAACUGCAAGGGCUUAGAGUCCACUUGAGUACUUUCUUGGAAACCCUAAGUGAGAGGGGAGAGGAGGAAUGAAUGAAGGUCAGAGUUGGGGUCCAAAUGUUAGUGAAGACCUAUUUGCCCAGGUCCCUCACCUGCCAGGUGACACCUGCUCCUGUCAACUUCUCCUGCCAUGUUACAGCCCUGUCCCUGGAGAGGAUAACCUCCUUGGUUAUGUGCUUAAUACUGACCCAGACAUCUGACCUUUGUCCCAGAUGG